GGACCAUCCUCCAAGGCUAAAUACUCCUGACUGACCGAUAGUGAACCAGUACCGUGAGGGAAAGGCGAAAAGAACCCCGGCGAGGGGAGUGAAAAAGAACCUGAAACCGUGUACGUACAAGCAGUGGGAGCCUCUUAAUGAGGUGACUGCGUACCUUUUGUAUAAUGGGUCAGCGACUUAUAUUCUGUAGCAAGGUUAACCGAAUAGGGGAGCCGAAGGGAAACCGAGUCUUAACUGGGCGUUAAGUUGCAGGGUAUAGACCCGAAACCCGGUGAUCUAGCCAUGGGCAGGUUGAAGGUUGGGUAACACUAACUGGAGGACCGAACCGACUAAUGUUGAAAAAUUAGCGGAUGACUUGUGGCUGGGGGUGAAAGGCCAAUCAAACCGGGAGAUAGCUGGUUCUCCCCGAAAGCUAUUUAGGUAGCGCCUCGUGAAUUCAUCUCCGGGGGUAGAGCACUGUUUCGGCAAGGGGGUCAUCCCGACUUACCAACCCGAUGCAAACUGCGAAUACCGGAGAAUGUUAUCACGGGAGACACACGGCGGGUGCUAACGUCCGUCGUGAAGAGGGAAACAACCCAGACCGCCAGCUAAGGUCCCAAAGUCAUGGUUAAGUGGGAAACGAUGUGGGAAGGCCCAGACAGCCAGGAUGUUGGCUUAGAAGCAGCCAUCAUUUAAAGAAAGCGUAAUAGCUCACUGGUCGAGUCGGCCUGCGCGGAAGAUGUAACGGGGCUAAACCAUG
RNAcentral lists this ribosomal RNA (739 nucleotides) under Escherichia coli. RNAcentral describes it as "partial 23S ribosomal RNA". It matches the Rfam family "Bacterial large subunit ribosomal RNA", at positions 450 to 1191 of the family's 2925-position model. The record is from RNAcentral. Lineage: Bacteria; Pseudomonadati; Pseudomonadota; Gammaproteobacteria; Enterobacterales; Enterobacteriaceae.